RNAcentral lists this long non-coding RNA (268 nucleotides) under Panax ginseng (ginseng). Its description in RNAcentral is "long non-coding RNA (PGIN_LNC007414)". The record is from RNAcentral. Lineage: Eukaryota; Viridiplantae; Streptophyta; Magnoliopsida; Apiales; Araliaceae.
AUAUUCUUAGGCUUCUUGCUUGCUGGUGUGGCAGCAACUGGCGUGGAGUCACCAGACUCAGAGCUUUCUUCCUCCUUUGCUUUUCUCUUCUUUUCAGAGAUCUUUCUGCUGCUUUCUGUUGUAGUUAACCUUCUGUUUUCCUUUGGGUUUUUCUUCCAGUUUAUGAACAGUUGAGGAGACAUAAUUUUGUGAACAUUAAGAAUCUCGCCCUCAUCAUCCAUGAUUUUAUUCUUCAACUUUUUCUUCAGGAUGAUACUUAAGAAUCUCC